Molecule: ribosomal RNA, 852 nt
Filed under: human gut metagenome
Description: bacterial SSU rRNA
Rfam family: Bacterial small subunit ribosomal RNA
Source: RNAcentral
AGAGUUUGAUCCUGGCUCAGGAUGAACGCUAGCUACAGGCUUAACACAUGCAAGUCGAGGGGCAGCAUGAUUGAAGCUUGCUUCAAUCGAUGGCGACCGGCGCACGGGUGAGUAACACGUAUCCAACCUGCCGAUAACUCGGGGAUAGCCUUUCGAAAGAAAGAUUAAUACCCGAUAGUAUAGUAUUUCCGCAUGGUUUCACUAUUAAAGAAUUUCGGUUAUCGAUGGGGAUGCGUUCCAUUAGAUAGUUGGCGGGGUAACGGCCCACCAAGUCAACGAUGGAUAGGGGUUCUGAGAGGAAGGUCCCCCACAUUGGAACUGAGACACGGUCCAAACUCCUACGGGAGGCAGCAGUGAGGAAUAUUGGUCAAUGGACGAGAGUCUGAACCAGCCAAGUAGCGUGAAGGAUGACUGCCCUAUGGGUUGUAAACUUCUUUUAUACGGGAAUAAAGUGGAGUAUGCAUACUCCUUUGUAUGUACCGUAUGAAUAAGGAUCGGCUAACUCCGUGCCAGCAGCCGCGGUAAUACGGAGGAUCCGAGCGUUAUCCGGAUUUAUUGGGUUUAAAGGGAGCGUAGGCGGGUGCUUAAGUCAGUUGUGAAAGUUUGCGGCUCAACCGUAAAAUUGCAGUUGAUACUGGGCGCCUUGAGUGCAGCAUAGGUAGGCGGAAUUCGUGGUGUAGCGGUGAAAUGCUUAGAUAUCACGAAGAACUCCGAUUGCGAAGGCAGCUUACUGGACUGUAACUGACGCUGAUGCUCGAAAGUGUGGGUAUCAAACAGAUUAGAUACCCUGGUAGUCACACAGUAAACGAUGAAACUCGCUGGUGGCGAUCACAGUCAGCGCCCAGCGAAAGC